GGAGAGGUGGCCGAGUUGGUCUAAGGCGCCCGCUUGCUAAGCGGUCGUCCGCUUAAAAGGCGGACCGUGGGUUCGAAUCCCACCCUCUCCG
Molecule: transfer RNA, 91 nt
Filed under: Caldifarciminota bacterium
Lineage: Bacteria; Pseudomonadati; Caldifarciminota
Description: candidate division WOR-3 bacterium (hot springs metagenome) tRNA-Ser
Rfam family: tRNA
About the family: Transfer RNA (tRNA) molecules are approximately 80 nucleotides in length. Their secondary structure includes four short double-helical elements and three loops (D, anti-codon, and T loops).
Source: RNAcentral